AACCUUUACAAUGCGCGAAAGCGUGAUAAGGCUACUCAAAGUGCUCAUGCUUUGCAUGGGCUUUUGCCAAGAGUAAAGAUCUUGGCGAAUAAGGGGUGGGUAAGACGGGUGCCAGCCGCCGCGGUAACCCCCGCGCCCCAAGUGGCACUCACAAUUAUUGGGCCUUAAGCGUUCGUAGCCGGUUUUGUAAGUUCUAGGUGAAACUGUUCUGCUCAACAGAACAGCGUGCCUGGAAUACUGCAAGACUUGGGACCGGGAGGCGUCAGAGGUAUUCCGGGGGGAACGGUAAAAUGUUAUAAUCCCCGGAGGACCACCUGUGGCGAAGGCGUCUGACGAGAACGGGUCCGACGGUGAGGGACGAAAGCUAGGGGAGCGAUCGGG
This 381-nucleotide ribosomal RNA is filed under the name uncultured archaeon. RNAcentral's name for it is "bacterial SSU rRNA". It matches the Rfam family "Archaeal small subunit ribosomal RNA", at positions 345 to 727 of the family's 1478-position model. The record is from RNAcentral.